AAGCAGCUGUGGUAUUUUAACGAGGCUGAGAAAAAGUUGAGGUCGAAUCUCGGUAACAGAAGAGCAGAACGAGUUGUGUCGAAUGCUGUAUACUUGUUCUGCAUAGGCAGUAAUGAUUACUCGACCGAUUCUACGAAUUCCAGCAUAUUUAAGUCGUCUACCCCAGAAGGUUAUGUAGCCAUGGUGGUUGGCAAUAUUACAACUGUUUUUAAGGAAAUAUACAAGAAAGGUGGGAGAAAAUUUGCCACUUAUGAAUGUUCCGGCUAUAGGUUGUAUUCCAGCCUUUAGAGCUCUUAACGUGGCUGCUGGAGGAAAUGGAGAGUGUGAAGAAGAGUAUGUAGCUUUGCCCAAGUUGCACAACGCCUUGCUUUCCCGGAACUUGAGCAGCUGCAGAAGCAGCUCAAAGGUUUCAAGUAUUCUAUUUUGACUUCUUCACCGUUCUCAAUGAAAUAAUUGACAAUCCAUCAAAAUUUGGUUUGGAGGAAGCCAAGACUGGAUGCUGUGGAGGCGGUCCUUACAGAGGAGAUCAUAGCUGUGGAGGGAAGACGGCAAUAAAAAAGUACGACUUAUGCGAUAAUCCCCAAGACUAUCUGUUCUUUGACUCCACUCAUCCGACCCAAGCGGCCAACGAGCAGUUCGCGAAGCUCAUGUGGUCCGGAUCCACCAACCUUACAGGGCCUUACAAUAUCAAGUCACUUUUUCAGCUUUCUUAUUGAAGUUUAUGAUUCUUAAUGUCUGUUUUUUCACUUUAAGAAUAACAAAAAGCACAUGUUCUAUUUGUUCUUUUGCCAAAAAGUGUGUAUACAUGUGUUUGUUUCAUCAUAUUGUUUCACAAAUAGUUUGAAAUAAGCGUGUUUGACUAGAUGAAA
Non-coding RNA from Coffea arabica (coffee), 869 nucleotides. The record is from RefSeq and is a predicted model, not a curated record. Lineage: Eukaryota; Viridiplantae; Streptophyta; Magnoliopsida; Gentianales; Rubiaceae.